GAUAGCUCAGUCGGUAGAGCAUAAGACUCUUAAUCUUAGGGUUGUGGGUUUGAGUCCCAUAUUGCG
Molecule: non-coding RNA, 66 nt
Organism: Podarcis lilfordi (Lilford's wall lizard)
Lineage: Eukaryota; Metazoa; Chordata; Lepidosauria; Squamata; Lacertidae
Source: the annotation of a GenBank genome assembly